AUACGGAGGGUGCAAGCGUUGUUCGGAAUUACUGGGCGUAAAGCGCGCGUAGGCGGUUUGUUAUGUCAGAUGUGAAAGUCCACGGCUCAACCGUGGAAGUGCAUUUGAAACUGGCAAACUUGAGUACUGGAGGGGGUGGUGGAAUUCCCGGUGUAGAGGUGAAAUUCGUAGAUAUCGGGAGGAAUACCGGUGGCGAAGGCGACCACCUGGCCAGAUACUGACGCUGAGGUGCGAAAGCGUGGGGAGCAAACAGGAUUAGAUACCCGAGUAGUCC
Molecule: ribosomal RNA, 274 nt
Filed under: uncultured bacterium
Lineage: Bacteria
Description: partial 16S ribosomal RNA
Rfam family: Bacterial small subunit ribosomal RNA
Source: RNAcentral